GUGCCAGCCGCCGCGGUAAUACGUAGGUGGCGAGCGUUGUCCGGAAUUACUGGGUGUAAAGGGCGUGUAGGCGGGGAUGUAAGUCAGAUGUGAAAUACCGAAGCUUAACUUCGGAGCUGCAUCUGAAACUGCGUCUCUUGAGUGUCGGAGAGGAAAGCGGAAUUCCCAGUGUAGCGGUGAAAUGCGUAGAUAUUGGGAGGAACACCAGUGGCGAAGGCGGCUUUCUGGACGAUAACUGACGCUGAGGCGCGAAAGCGUGGGGAGCAAACAGGAUUAGAAACCCGUGUAGUCC
This 292-nucleotide ribosomal RNA is filed under the name uncultured bacterium. RNAcentral describes it as "partial 16S ribosomal RNA". It matches the Rfam family "Bacterial small subunit ribosomal RNA", at positions 505 to 796 of the family's 1533-position model. The record is from RNAcentral.